CAUCAUGCACCCUGACCGGCGGUCUCUGUCUCAGCUUGUUUUGCUCAGCUUGUCAUGUGGUCCAGCAAUAUUCUUUUGCCCUUAACUAUCUUUUCUAGGAGCAGCAGCACCAGGUACUCUGCAUGUCUCGUGCUACCCCCCAUGUUGUUUCAGCAUCGGUUGAUCCUCACUUGGACUACUAAUCGCUUCAGGUCAGGUCCAUGUGCCACAAAAUAUCCUCACAAUCUUGUUAAGAAUCCCCUGGGAUUCGGUUCAGGUGUGGCACUAAACUAUUCUGGCUUUUCUCUUUCCCAUACACUACAGCGGUUCUACCAGAAACUGAAAUCUGAUGUUGGCUACCGGGUCCCGGAUCGCUGCAUGGAACCGUCACAAAUCAAACCACACUGAACGCCUAAAGCUAAUAUCUUUCACAAUUAUUGAGAUACCAAUGCAUCUGCAUGAGUUGUACUCCCACCCUUUCUAGUUAUAAGAUCUUUUAGUUAUUGCAACAUAGACCACAUACAGAUGAAAGUUAAAAUGAGUAGGUGCAUAGGCAUCUGAAAAAACAGAGAAAAGCUAAAACAUCUUAUACUCCCUCUGUCCCCAAAAUCAUGUAUUAGAU
This 601-nucleotide long non-coding RNA is filed under the name Hordeum vulgare. RNAcentral's name for it is "long non-coding RNA (HVUL_LNC011749)". The record is from RNAcentral. Lineage: Eukaryota; Viridiplantae; Streptophyta; Magnoliopsida; Poales; Poaceae.